GACGAACGCUGGCGGCGUGCUUAACACAUGCAAGUCGAACGGCAAGGCUCCAGCUUGCUGGGGUACACGAGUGGCGAACGGGUGAGUAACACGUGGGUGACCUGCCCUGCACUUCGGGAUAAGCCUGGGAAACUGGGUCUAAUACCGGAUAGGACCGCACCGUGAGGGUGUGGUGGAAAGUUUUUUCGGUGUGGGAUGGGCCCGCGGCCUAUCAGCUUGUUGGUGGGGUAAUGGCCUACCAAGGCGGCGACGGGUAGCCGGCCUGAGAGGGUGGACGGCCACAUUGGGACUGAGACACGGCCCAGACUCCUACGGGAGGCAGCAGUGGGGAAUAUUGCACAAUGGGCGGAAGCCUGAUGCAGCGACGCCGCGUGGGGGAUGACGGCCUUCGGGUUGUAAACUCCUUUCACCAUCGACGAAGGGUUUCUGACGGUAGAUGGAGAAGAAGCACCGGCUAACUACGUG
This 465-nucleotide ribosomal RNA is filed under the name uncultured bacterium. RNAcentral's name for it is "partial 16S ribosomal RNA". It matches the Rfam family "Bacterial small subunit ribosomal RNA", at positions 28 to 507 of the family's 1533-position model. The record is from RNAcentral.